AGUGAACGCUGGCGGUAGGCCUAACACAUGCAAGUCGAACGAACAGACAGUGAGAGCUUGCUCUUGACGGUAGCGACUGACGGGCGGGUGAGAAAUACAUCGGCUUCUUCUUUUUCUUGGGGAAUUACGUAGGGAAGCUUACGCUAAUACCUCAUACGACGUACGGGUGAAAUCAGGAGAUCUUCGGACUUUGCGCGAUUGAAUGAGCCGGUGUCGGAUUAGCUUGUUGGCGGGGUAAAGUCCCACCAAGGCGACGAUCCGUAGCUGAUCUGAGAGGAUGAUCAGCCACACUGGAACUGAGACACGGUCCAGACUCCUACGGGAGGCAGCAGUGGGGAAUAUUCCACAAUGGGCGCAAGCCUGAUCCAGCCAUACCGCGUGAGUGAAGAAGGUCUUCGGGUUGUAAAGCCCUGUUGUUGGGAAAGAAAAGCAGCAUAUUAAAACCCCGCUGUUCUGACGGUACCCAAAGAGAAAGCACCGGCUAACUUCGUG
RNAcentral lists this ribosomal RNA (492 nucleotides) under uncultured bacterium. RNAcentral's name for it is "partial 16S ribosomal RNA". It matches the Rfam family "Bacterial small subunit ribosomal RNA", at positions 29 to 507 of the family's 1533-position model. The record is from RNAcentral.